GGGGCGCACGAGUGCGCGAAAACUGUGCAAUGCGCGAAACGACACGGGAAACCUGAGUGCCUUGACAAAGUCAAGGCUUUUCUUAAGCCUAAAAAGCUUAAGGAAUAAGAGCUGGGUAAGACGGGUGCCAGCCGCCGCGGUAACACCCGCAGCUCGAGUGGUGGUCACUUUUAUUGAGCCUAAAGCGUUCGUAGCCGGUCCUGUAAAUCUUCAGAAAAAUUCUCCCGUUCAACGGGAGAUCCUCUGAAGAGACUGUGGGACUAGGGACUGGGUGAGGUUGAAUGUACUUCUGGGGUASGGGUAAAAUCCUGUAAUCCUGGAAGGACAACCGGUGGCGAAGGCGUUCAACUAGAACAGAUCCGACGGUGAGGAACGAGGGCUAGGGGAGCAAACCGGAUUAGAUACCCGGGUAGUCUUAGCUGUAAACACUGCCCACUUGGUGUUGCCUCUCCGUUGAGGGGGAGGCAGUGCCGKAGCGAAGGUGUUAAGUGGGCCGCUUGGAUAUGUCGAAGUAAAUUAAGAUU
RNAcentral lists this ribosomal RNA (524 nucleotides) under uncultured archaeon. Its description in RNAcentral is "bacterial SSU rRNA". It matches the Rfam family "Archaeal small subunit ribosomal RNA", at positions 327 to 856 of the family's 1478-position model. The record is from RNAcentral.